This 343-nucleotide unclassified non-coding RNA is filed under the name soil metagenome. RNAcentral's name for it is "partial contains 5.8S ribosomal RNA, internal transcribed spacer 2, and large subunit ribosomal RNA". The stretch from base 1 to 120 matches the Rfam family "5.8S ribosomal RNA", at positions 35 to 154 of the family's 154-position model. The record is from RNAcentral.
GAUGAAGAACGCAGCGAAACGCGAUAAGUAAUGUGAAUUGCAGAAUCCAGUGAAUCAUCGAAUCUUUGAACGCACAUUGCGCCCGCCAGCAUUCUGGCGGGCAUGCCUGUUCGAGCGUCAUUUCAACCCUCGACCUCCCCUUGGGGAGGUCGGCGUUGGGGACCGGCAGCACACCGCCGGCCCUGAAAUGGAGUGGCGACCCGUCCGCGGCGACCUCUGCGCAGUAAUACAGCUCGCACCGGGACCCCGACGCGGCCACGCCGUAAAACACCCAACUUCUGAACGUUGACCUCGAAUCAGGUAGGACUACCCGCUGAACUUAAGCAUAUCAAUAAGCGGAGGA